UCCCUGGCAGUCCAGUGGUUAGGACUGGCGCUUUCACUGCAGCUGCCCAGGUUCAAUUCCUGGCCAGGGAA
RNAcentral lists this transfer RNA (71 nucleotides) under Ovis aries (sheep). It matches the Rfam family "tRNA". Rfam says of the family: Transfer RNA (tRNA) molecules are approximately 80 nucleotides in length. Their secondary structure includes four short double-helical elements and three loops (D, anti-codon, and T loops). The record is from Rfam by way of RNAcentral. Lineage: Eukaryota; Metazoa; Chordata; Mammalia; Artiodactyla; Bovidae.